This 483-nucleotide ribosomal RNA is filed under the name uncultured bacterium. RNAcentral's name for it is "partial 16S ribosomal RNA". It matches the Rfam family "Bacterial small subunit ribosomal RNA", at positions 28 to 507 of the family's 1533-position model. The record is from RNAcentral.
GACGAACGCUGGCGGCGUGCUUAACACAUGCAAGUCGAACGCUGAAGCUCAGCUUUUGUUGGGUGGAUGAGUGGCGAACGGGUGAGUAACACGUGAGUAACCUGCCCCCUUCUUUGGGAUAACGCCCGGAAACGGGUGCUAAUACUGGAUAUUCACUGGUCUUCGCAUGGGGGUUGGUGGAAAGGGUUUUUCUGGUGGGGGAUGGGCUCGCGGCCUAUCAGCUUGUUGGUGGGGUGAUGGCCUACCAAGGCUUUGACGGGUAGCCGGCCUGAGAGGGUGACCGGUCACAUUGGGACUGAGAUACGGCCCAGACUCCUACGGGAGGCAGCAGUGGGGAAUAUUGCACAAUGGGCGCAAGCCUGAUGCAGCGACGCCGCGUGAGGGAUGGCGGCCUUCGGGUUGUGAACCUCUUUCGCUCAUGGUCAAGCCGCAACAAUGGUUGUGGUGAGGGUAGUGGGUAAAGAAGCGCCGGCUAACUACGUG